Polyodon spathula (Mississippi paddlefish) is the source of this 994-nucleotide long non-coding RNA. RefSeq lists it as uncharacterized. The record is from RefSeq and is a predicted model, not a curated record. NCBI's taxonomy places the organism in Eukaryota, Metazoa, Chordata, Actinopteri, Acipenseriformes, Polyodontidae. The transcript is spliced from 5 exons.
GAUAUGUCUAAUUUGCAAAUCAAUGACGGGAUGGCUUGGGGUAGCAGCUUGGUGACACAGAGGCCCUUGCUUCUCUCUUUUGUUUAUUAUGGUAAGGAGGGCGCAAACCCUGAGAGUUAUCUGCGGAGUUUGAGGGUAACAAAGGGAUGAAUACAACAACCUAAAGACCAGUGUUUUAACGUGACUGUGUACAGAAAGAAGUGCCGGGACGCCAUAGAGAAGCAAAAAAAAUUGACGGCUGAAGGAAUACCCAGGUAUCAGACACUGGGAGUGUGGGAACAUUCUCUGAAGGAUAAUUGCUGACCCUGGGGCUAGCAAAAGUGAAGCCAUGCUGCAUUGCUGUGAUUAAAGGGACUUACUGCCAUGUGUGGGGCUGGGUAAACUAUGUAUAAAUUACUGGUACAAGGGAGUAAGGAAGGAUCCAGAUUCCAGGAGAUUCCAGGAAAAUCCGGCCCAUUAAUAGUCUGUUGUUUGUUACGUCCUGCAUCGACCUUGUGCCCCGAGUGGAGCCAGCAGCUUGAGUCGCUCUUUCCCAGGGAUCAAGCAACAAAUAUGCGCACAACUGCUGGGCUAAUCAGCGCUGCGCUGGAUCAAGAUACACGCUUCAGCUGAGAAUGCUUGCAGUCUCAUCCACAGUAUCCUGCUGCUGUUUUAUUGACUGCUUUUGCAUCACCAUUUCGAGGGCUGUUAGUUAUUUUAACAAGCAGGCUUCCCUCAGUCUCAUGUUGGUACUGACUGAGUGGCUUUGCCAGCACGGUAAAUGCGAACCGGUAGACCCAUUCUUGUAAUGACCCGCACUGGUACCAAACCGACCUGGUACCAAACCGACCUGGUACCAUCCUGGUUCCGACCCUGUACUGUACCGUACUGAACCGGUGCUACAGUCACCAAACUGGUACUGAACAGACCAGGUGCCGACCCAGAACAGUACCACCAUUACGAAGUGGACCACCAUCACAAAGCGCUUUACGAGAUGUAGUAACAACAAGAAAAU